RNAcentral lists this transfer RNA (76 nucleotides) under Corynebacterium marinum. RNAcentral describes it as "tRNA-Arg". It matches the Rfam family "tRNA". From Rfam's summary of the family: Transfer RNA (tRNA) molecules are approximately 80 nucleotides in length. Lineage: Bacteria; Bacillati; Actinomycetota; Actinomycetes; Mycobacteriales; Corynebacteriaceae. The record is from RNAcentral. RNAcentral also lists the same sequence under 1 other name.
GUCUCCGUAGCUCAGUGGAUAGAGCACUGGUUUCCGGUACCAAAGGUCGCAGGUUCGAAUCCUGUCGGGGACACCA